AGGUGGCAUGUUAAGUCAGAUGUGAAAGCCCUGGGCUUAACCUGGGAACGGCAUUUGAAACUGGCAAGCUAGAGUUGAGUAGAGGGGGGCGGAAUUUCCGGUGUAGCGGUGAAAUGCGUAGAUAUCGGAAGGAACACCCGUGGCGAAGGCGGCUCCCUGGACUCAAACUGACGCUGAGGUACGAAAGCGUGGGUAGCAAACAGGAUUAGAUACCCUGGUAGUCCACGCCCUAAACGAUGCCAUCUAGGUGUUGGGGAAGGAGACUUCCUUAGUACCGUAGCUAACGCGUGAAGUUGGCCGCCUGGGGAGUACGGUCGCAAGAUUAAAACUCAAAGGAAUUGACGGGGACCCGCACAAGCGGUGGAUGAUGUGGAUUAAUUCGAUGCAACGCGAAAAACCUUACCUACCCUUGACAUGUCCGGAAUCCUGCUGAGAGGUGGGAGUGCUCGAAAGAGAGCCGGAACACAGGUGCUGCAUGGCUGUCGUCAGCUCGUGUCGUGAGAUGUUGGGUUAAGUCCCGCAACGAGCGCAACCCUUGUCAUUAGUUGCCAUCAUUUAGUUGGGCACUCUAAUGAGACUGCCGGUGACAAACCGGAGGAAGGUGGGGAUGACGUCAAGUCCUCAUGGCCCUUAUGGGUAGGGCUUCACACGUCAUACAAUGGUCGGUACAGAGGGUCGCCAACCCGCGAGGGGGAGCCAAUCUCACAAAGCCGAUCGUAGUCCGGAUUGGAGUCUGCAACUCGACUCCAUGAAGUCGGAAUCGCUAGUAA
This 770-nucleotide ribosomal RNA is filed under the name uncultured Rhodocyclales bacterium. RNAcentral describes it as "bacterial SSU rRNA". It matches the Rfam family "Bacterial small subunit ribosomal RNA", at positions 573 to 1341 of the family's 1533-position model. The record is from RNAcentral. Lineage: Bacteria; Pseudomonadati; Pseudomonadota; Betaproteobacteria; Rhodocyclales.